UGUAUUCACUACUGUAAGUCGCUCUGGAUAAGAGCGUCUACUGAAUGACUAAAA
This is a non-coding RNA of Salmo salar (Atlantic salmon), 54 nucleotides long. Lineage: Eukaryota; Metazoa; Chordata; Actinopteri; Salmoniformes; Salmonidae. The record is from Rfam.